GGUUGAAGGUUGGGUAACACUAACUGGAGGACCGAACCGACUAAUGUUGAAAAAUUAGCGGAUGACCUGUGGCUGGGGGUGAAAGGCCAAUCAAACCGGGAGAUAGCUGGUUCUCCCCGAAAGCUAUUUAGGUAGCGCCUCGUGAAUUCAUCUCCGGGGGUAGAGCACUGUUUCGGCUAGGGGGCCAUCCCGGCUUACCAACCCGAUGCAAACUGCGAAUACCGGAGAAUGUUAUCACGGGAGACACACGGCGGGUGCUAACGUCCGUCGUGAAGAGGGAAACAACCCAGACCGCCAGCUAAGGUCCCAAAGUCAUGGUUAAGUGGGAAACGAUGUGGGAAGGCCCAGACAGCCAGGAUGUUGGCUUAGAAGCAGCCAUCAUUUAAAGAAAGCGUAAUAGCUCACUGGUCGAGUCGGCCUGCGCGGAAGAUGUAACGGGGCUAAACCAUGCACCGAAGCUGCGGCAGCGACACUGUGU
Molecule: ribosomal RNA, 478 nt
Filed under: Salmonella enterica
Lineage: Bacteria; Pseudomonadati; Pseudomonadota; Gammaproteobacteria; Enterobacterales; Enterobacteriaceae
Description: partial 23S ribosomal RNA
Rfam family: Bacterial large subunit ribosomal RNA
Source: RNAcentral